RNAcentral lists this ribosomal RNA (484 nucleotides) under uncultured bacterium. Its description in RNAcentral is "partial 16S ribosomal RNA". It matches the Rfam family "Bacterial small subunit ribosomal RNA", at positions 29 to 507 of the family's 1533-position model. The record is from RNAcentral.
AUUGAACGCUGGCGGCAUGCUUUACACAUGCAAGUCGAACGGCAGCGCGGGCUUCGGCCUGGCGGCGAGUGGCGAACGGGUGAGUAAUACAUCGGAACGUGCCCAGUAGUGGGGGAUAGCUCGGCGAAAGCCGGAUUAAUACCGCAUACGACCUGAGGGUGGAAGCGGGGGAUCUUCGGACCUCGCGCUAUUGGAGCGGCCGAUGGCAGAUUAGCUAGUUGGUGGGGUAAAGGCCUACCAAGGCGACGAUCUGUAGCUGGUCUGAGAGGACGACCAGCCACAAUGGGAAUGAGACACGGCCCAGACUCCUAAGGGAGGCAGCAGUGGGGAAUUUUGGACAAUGGGCGAAAGCCUGAUCCAGCAAUGCCGCGUGUGUGAUGAAGGCCUUCGGGUUGUAAAGCACUUUUGGCGGGAACGAAAAGGACUGUGCCAAUACCACGGUUCGAUGACGGUACCCGCAGAAUAAGCACCGGCUAACUACGUG